GACGAACGCUGGCGGCGUGCUUAACACAUGCAAGUCGAACGGAAAGGCCCUGCUUUUGUGGUGUUCUCGAGUGGCGAACGGGUGAGUAACACGGGAGUAACCUGCCCUUGACUUUGGUAUAACUUCGGGAAACUGGGGCUAAUACCGUAUAGGAGCUCCUGCUGCAUGGUGGUGGUUGGAAAGUUUCGGCGGUUGGGGAUGGACUCGCGGCUUAUCAGCUUGUUGGUGGGUUAGUGGCUUACCAAGGCUUUGACGGGUAGCCGGCCUGAGAGGGUGACCGGCACCAUUGGGACUGAGAUACGGCCCAGAUUCCUCCGGGAGGAAGAAGUGGGGAAUAUUGAAAAAUGGGGGGAAGCCUGAUGAAGCACCGCCGCGUGCGGGAUAAGGGCCUUCGGGUUGUAACCCGUUUUCGCCUGUGACGAAGCGUGAGUGACGGUAAUGGGUAAAGAAGCACCGGCUAACUACGUG
Molecule: ribosomal RNA, 468 nt
Filed under: uncultured bacterium
Lineage: Bacteria
Description: partial 16S ribosomal RNA
Rfam family: Bacterial small subunit ribosomal RNA
Source: RNAcentral